RNAcentral lists this ribosomal RNA (788 nucleotides) under uncultured bacterium. RNAcentral describes it as "bacterial SSU rRNA". It matches the Rfam family "Bacterial small subunit ribosomal RNA", at positions 56 to 842 of the family's 1533-position model. The record is from RNAcentral.
UGCAAGUCGAACGGAGCACCCUUGAAAGAGACUUCGGUUGAUUGAUAGGAAUGCUUAGUGGCGGACUGGUGCGUAACACGUGAGUAACCUGCCCCGAAGAGUGGAAUAACACAGCGAAAGUUGUGCUAAUACCGCAUAACAUGGUUGUACCGCAUGGUGCUGACCAUCAAAGAUUUAUCGCUUUGGGAUGGACUCGCGUCCGAUUAGCUAGUUGGUGAGAUAACGGCUCACCAAGGCGACGAUCGGUAGCCGGACUGAGAGGUUGACCGGCCACAUUGGGACUGAGAUACGGCCCAGACUCCUACGGGAGGCAGCAGUGGGGAAUAUUGGGCAAUGGGCGCAAGCCUGACCCAGCAACGCCGCGUGAAGGAAGAAGGUCUUCGGAUUGUAAACUUUAAUCGUCGGGGACGAGAACGGACGGUACCCGAGGUGAAGCCACGUCUAACUACGUGCCAGCAGACGCGGUAAUACGUAGGUGGCAAGCGUUGUCCGGAUUUACUGGGUGUAAAGGGCGUGUAGGCGGAUUUGAAAGUCAGGCGUGAAAUGCCGCAGCUUAACUGCGGAGCUGCGCUUGAAACUUCAGACCUUGAGUACCGGAGAGGAAAGCGGAAUUCCUAGUGUAGCGGUGAAAUGCGUAGAUAUUAGGAGGAACACCAGUGGCGAAGGCGGCUUUCUGGACGGCAACUGACGCUGAGGCGCGAAAGUGUGGGGAGCAAACAGGAUUAGAUACCCUGGUAGUCCACACUGUAAACGAUGGAUACUAGGUGUGGGAGGUUUCGACGCCUUCC